CGAGGACCCCAACGAAGGAGUGAUUUGAACCCAAGUCAAAAGGGUGCCCUACAAGGCUAGUUUGAACAGAACCCCUACCCUGAUGUGACUCCCAGAGAACAACUGACCAGAGAAAUUGGCACUCCAGAAUUUAGAAUACAGAUGUGGUUUCGAAACCAGAGAACACAACACCUCAGACAGAGUCUACUGGGGUCUGGAUUGGGGUCGAUUUCCUGGAAUUGCUAUCAGGGAAGAACUGGCUGCACAAACAGGCCUCUCAGAGUCCAGAACUCAGAUAUGGUUUCAUAACCAAAGAGCUCGGCACUGUGGCCAGAGUUGUAGA
Molecule: long non-coding RNA, 322 nt
Filed under: Homo sapiens (human)
Lineage: Eukaryota; Metazoa; Chordata; Mammalia; Primates; Hominidae
Description: non-protein coding lnc-C5orf22-7:2
Source: RNAcentral